Molecule: ribosomal RNA, 253 nt
Filed under: uncultured bacterium
Lineage: Bacteria
Description: partial 16S ribosomal RNA
Rfam family: Bacterial small subunit ribosomal RNA
Source: RNAcentral
UACGGAGGGGGCAAGCGUUAUUCGGAAUUAUUGGGCGUAAAGGGCGCGUAGGCGGCUCGAUGUGUCAGAGGUGAAAUCCCUCGGCUCAACUGAGGAACUGCCUUUGAAACUGUCUGGCUUGAGGCCGGGAGAGGGUAGCGGAAUUCCCAGUGUAGCGGUGAAAUGCGUAGAUAUUGGGAGGAACACCAGUGGCGAAGGCGGCUUCCUGGACCGGUACUGACGCUGAGGCGCGAAAGCGUGGGUAGCAAACAGG